RNAcentral lists this ribosomal RNA (403 nucleotides) under uncultured prokaryote. RNAcentral describes it as "bacterial SSU rRNA". It matches the Rfam family "Bacterial small subunit ribosomal RNA", at positions 355 to 774 of the family's 1533-position model. The record is from RNAcentral.
UUUGGAAUAUUGCACAAUGGGCGAAAGCCUGAUGCAGCAACGCCGCGUGAAGGAAGAAGGUCUUCGGAUUGUAAACUUUUGUCUUGCGGGACGAAUAAUGACGGUACCGCAGGAGGAAGCCACGGCUAACUACGUGCCAGCAGCCGCGGUAAUACGUAGGUGGCGAGCGUUGUCCGGAAUUACUGGGUGUAAAGGGUGCGUAGGCGGAUUUGCAAGUCAGACGUGAAAACUAUCGGCUUAACCGGUAGCCUGCGUUUGAAACUGUGAGUCUUGAGUGGUGAAGAGGUAAGCGGAAUUCCUAGUGUAGCGGUGAAAUGCGUAGAUAUUAGGAGGAACACCAGUGGCGAAGGCGGCUUACUGGGCACUAACUGACGCUGAGGCACGAAAGCAUGGGGAGCAAACA